CACAUAUAUUUAUUUAUAUUUCAACAAAAGAUACAAAAAUAAUAGUAGAACCAUCAUUUAAUAAUGCUGUAAGAAUAGAUUUCGAACAUGCAGUGAAUAUAAAAAACGAAUGUGAAAAGGGAAAAUCGUUUCAAUUUGUUAGUUUUAUUGAUGAAAACCUUUUGGUAAUCAAAUGGAGUGUCUAUUCAAAGGGCAAAAUAAAAGGUAGCUAUCGUUCAAAAAANNNNNNNNNNNNNNNNNNNNNNNNNNNNNNNNNNNNNNNNNNNNNNNNNNNNNNNNNNNNNNNNNNNNNNNNNNNNNNNNNNNNNNNNNNNNNNNNNNNNAAAAAAAAAAAAAAAAAAAAAAAAAAAAAAAAAAAAAAAAAAAAACGUAUAUAGUUUUGCUCAUUUGUACGCAUACCUAGGUACAUAGGUGUAAGUUUACACAUGUCCAUGCGUAUGUACAUAUUGUUUGAUACUAUUUUUUUUUUUUUUUUAAGUGUUCCUGACUUGUGCGUGUUUUAUUUAUUUAUGUUUUUCACAUGAUUACCUAUUCACGCUCCUGCGUUAAUGGUACACUUGCAGGCGUAAAUCCUGACGUAAGAAAGAUGAAGCUCCCCGAUUUAUACGAAACAAUAAGAUCUGUCCACGUGUUUAGUGCGAAUCACAAGCAAAACGUCAUUGAGUCUGAAACUUAUGUCAUCAAUGAAGAAAUGCCGGGUAAUUAAAAAAAAAAAAAAAAAAAAAAAAAAAAAAAAAAAAAAAAAACACAAACGGGUGCAUACAUACCUAAAUAAAUAUCUAAAUACAUACCUAAAUACAUAUCUAAAUACAUAUCUAAAUACAUAUCUAAAUACAUAUCUAAAUACAUAUCUAAAUACAUAUCUAAAUACAUAUCUAAAUAGAUAUCUAAAUACAUACAUACCUACAUACAUACCUACAUACAUACCUACAUACAUACCUACAUACAUACCAACAUACAUACCAACAUACAUACAGAAAUGUGCGAAGACAUAUCGACCGAUUGCUUCCUUAAUGGAAAUAUAAACAUAAAUAACUGCUUUAAGUGCCAGCUGUUAGUACAAAAUCAUAGCAAAGACUCUGAAUGCUUUGAUUACACAUCAAAAGAUAUGAAAAAUAAAUUAGAUUACAUUAAACAUGUGGUGGGAGAAAGUGAAGAUGAUAGUCCUGAAUUCCAGUUGAUGAAUUCAAUUGACUUUUUAUUAAAGAGUCUUUUUAAAGUUGGUAAAGAAACAAAUAAAAAAGUAUUAAUAGAUGAAAGCGAAUAUAGUGAAUCAUUAAAACGUAAUGUGUCACAAUAUUGUAAGUUACUACUCAAAUUAGAAAAUGACGAAGGGAUUGAUGAGAGCGAAUUAGGUAAUGCUGUAGAAGUCUUAAGUAAUGUAAAAAAAAUGCUGGGUUCACAUAUAGAUGAGAGUUUUCACAUUUUGCAAACUAAAUUAAAAAAUAUAUACAACUGUUUAAAAGAUUCAUAUAAAUGGUCAAUGAAUAAAAAAGGUUUGACGUUACCUGGAACUGGUUCACAUGAAACUGGAUAUAAAUCACGUAUAGUUGAUGGGAAUAAAAAAUAUUUUGAUGAUGGUGAGAAGGAAAGGAAAAAUAAGAAUAAUAAAAAUGAUGACUCUAGUAAUGGUAAGGAUGAUAUAAUAGACAUAUUAGAAGUUACUAAAGAGGUUAAAGUUGGUUCCAGUUAUCAUGUAGAUAAUAUGUAUUGUAAUAACUUAUAUUGUAAUAGAUGGCAAGAUAAAACAAGUUGUAUGUCAAAAAUAGAAGUAGAAGAGCAAGGUAAUUGUUCACUUUGUUGGAUCUUUGCAUCUAAAUUACAUUUAGAAACUCUGAGAUGUAUGAGAGGAUAUGGUCAUUAUCGAAGUUCUGCUUUAUAUGUAGCUAACUGUUCACUUAGACAUCCUGAUGAAUUGUGUAUAGUAGGUUCGAAUCCGGUUGAAUUCUUACAAAUAUUAGAUACCGAAAAAUUUUUACCAUUAGAAAAAGAUCAUCCUUAUGAUAUUGAUAAUGUCACUCAGUCAUGUCCAGCGCCAAAAACGAAUUGGCUCAACUUAUGGGGGAGCACUGAAUUACUACAAGAUAUAACAAAUAACGUAUAUUACCAACCUAGAGGGUAUGUAGCUUACGAAUCAAUAGACUAUAGAUAUAAUAUGAGAGAAUUUGUUAAAAUAGUAAAAAGAGAAAUAAGAAAUAAAGGUUCGGUUAUGGCAUAUAUAAAAACAGAAAAUGUUAUAGAUUUUGAUUUUAAUGGUAGCAUUAUACAUAAUUUAUGUGGUGAGGAAAUCCCUGACCAUGCAGUUGCUAUAAUUGGAUAUGGUGAUUAUAUUAAUAUAGAUGGAGAUAAAAGAACAUACUGGAUAAUUAGAAACAGUUGGGGUAUAUAUUGGGGAGAUAAUGGUAAUUUUAGAGUGGAUGUAUAUGGUCCUGGUUAUUGUUUAUAUAACUUUAUACAUACAGUUGCUGUAUUUAAACUUCAACUAGGUAUGAUAGAUAUACAUAGAGAAGUGCCCAUUGUUAAUGAAGAAUAUUUCACUACAUACCAUCCGAACUUCUUUCACACUCUUUAUUAUAACAACUACGUUGAAGAAGAUGUUACAGAAUCCGAGGAUGAUUGUCAGAAAAAGAAAGAGAAAGAGAAAAAAAAAGAGGCAUUAAAAUAUUACGAAACUAAUAACAAUUACAAUGUUUAUUUCGAUGAGUUUGAUAAUAGUGAGGAUACAGAUGAUUUAAAUGAGAUAGAAAAUAAUAUUGUUACAGAUGACAUGCAUGACAGUGUGUUUAUUAAAAAAGAUGAAAAAGAAACAAAUAAAGCUGACGUAGAAAAAAAAAUACAAAUUUUACAUAUUUUGAAACAUAUUGUUGAUUCGGACGUUAGUACAAAUGUUGUAAAAUAUAGCCUAGACGACACUAAAAAGGAAUAUGUUUGUCUGAGAGUUCACCCUGUUAAUCCAGAAAAAUAUCAAGAAUGUUAUGAUUUUUGUGAGGAGAACUGGAAUAGUUGUGCAAAACAUUAUUCACCAGGUUAUUGUUUGACCAAAUUAUAUGGUAGUAAUAAUUGUCAGUUCUGUUAUGUGUGAGCCGUUGUGUUCGCAUAAGGACAUUAAAUUUUAAAAUAUGUAUAUGUACAUGUGUGAAACUUGCA
Molecule: long non-coding RNA, 3147 nt
Organism: Piliocolobus tephrosceles (Ugandan red Colobus)
Lineage: Eukaryota; Metazoa; Chordata; Mammalia; Primates; Cercopithecidae
Source: Ensembl